GACCUCAUGGUUCAACGGUAGCGUGUCUGACUCCAGGUCAGAAGGUUGCGUGUUCAAAUCACAUCGGGGUCA
This 72-nucleotide transfer RNA is filed under the name Megalops atlanticus (tarpon). It matches the Rfam family "tRNA". Rfam says of the family: Transfer RNA (tRNA) molecules are approximately 80 nucleotides in length. Their secondary structure includes four short double-helical elements and three loops (D, anti-codon, and T loops). Lineage: Eukaryota; Metazoa; Chordata; Actinopteri; Elopiformes; Megalopidae. The record is from Rfam by way of RNAcentral.